RNAcentral lists this long non-coding RNA (1182 nucleotides) under Vulpes vulpes (red fox). RNAcentral describes it as "lncRNA (ENSVVUG00000017736.1)". The record is from RNAcentral. Lineage: Eukaryota; Metazoa; Chordata; Mammalia; Carnivora; Canidae.
CUUACAGGCACUUGUAAAGGACAAAUUCAUGUGGAACAGAAAGCUUAUGAGCUUUGGAGUCUGAAAAACUCAGGAUGAAUGGAGGAGCUGACCCAAUCCUGGGCCUUCUUGUCUGGGCCUCAGGGUGCUCACCUGUCAAAGGAUGGGAGUGAUCCUAUUUCAUGGAUCAUCAAGAGAAUCUCAUGAAGACCUUUACAUGACCAUUUUUCUGGGUCACAAUUCUUAAACCAGGAAAGUUGGAAAUACCUCAGCUUUUUAUGCCAGUCUCACUAACAGCUGCCAAGACAGAUGUGGGCCUCUCAGCUGUAGUCCUUCCUCCUCACGUCCAUAGAGUGUCCGAGAGAGUUAACAAGCUGAAUCCAGAAGAAGCAGGAGUCAGCAUCUUUGUUUUACAGGUGCACCUGCACAGUUUCCUGAGCCCACGCCUACCUGCCGGACCACCUGCCAGGCCAUUAGCAAGGCCAGUGGACAAACCACACACUUGGGUGUUCUUAGAGUCUGUCACUUUCGUGAUAGUGAGAUGCUCUGGGCUGCCUGCAACCCCUCCCAGUGUUUGCCAGACAACUGAGCUGGAGGCAGGGGUUCAUCUGGAAAAUGCCAGCAAGCAACAGAACGUUCUCAGACACCUUUUACCUAUGAGGACAGUGAGUCAUGGCCCUGAGUUUGUUGGGGUCUUUUUAUUUGCGCAUAUAUAUAUAUAUAUAUAUUCUCCCAAAGGCUUUGAAUAAGGUGCUCCAGCAGGAGAUGCCUGAGCCUCGCUCACACACCCAUCUUGCCCCUUCAGUGCUGACAGCCUUGAAUUCCGACUGCCGACCCCUCCUUUUGUGUCCUGAGGACCUUCCCUUGAGCUGGAGCCCCCCUUUGCCACCUGUGCUGCCCACCUAAGUGCUCGGGAACUUCAUGAAGCCCUGGAGAGCAGCCUCCCCAUAGUGGUGAGCAAGAGUUGGUGUAUAAAUACCCCAGCUCCCUUGCCCCUCAGGUGGGAUGAUCUGAGGUGUGUGUUCUUCAUUGGCUUCCAGAGCUUUCCGAGCAGACUGAAGCUUCAGUCACCCACGGUGGUGGGUGGUUUAAUAUUACAUGCUUUCUUGGCUGCCUUCCUUUCCCUGUCUCACUUCACCGUGCCCCUGCCAGCACUCCUGGGAUCAUCUUCCAAAUAAACUGCUCCAUCUGGAAUCUCUGUCA